Molecule: non-coding RNA, 1448 nt
Organism: Notechis scutatus (mainland tiger snake)
Lineage: Eukaryota; Metazoa; Chordata; Lepidosauria; Squamata; Elapidae
Source: RefSeq, a predicted model, not a curated record
GCUGUUUACUGUUGGCUUGUUUGGCAGCCCCUUGGUUGCAGUAUUGUUUACUUCUGGAUUGUUGGUCUGAUGUUGACCUUGGUGUUAAUCUCUGCUCAUCUGGGUGCUGAUUGGUGGCAGGGAGAGUUUUGGUCGUUUUGUUCACUUCUUGCACAGUAUGUAGCUGUUGUUUAUGUGUCUGUUGGUGGCCAAUUUGUCACAAUGUCAGGCUUCCAGGAAAUCUCUAGGGUUUUCAGACUUGGUUUGGUCUAGGAUGGGCACGGUUUCCCCAUUGAAACUAGGGUUAAUUCUGUCCGUGGGUUGAGAAAUGAAAGGUUUUUCAUCGUGUCUACUGACUGCUACUGGAUGCCUUCUGCCAGUCCUCUGCCUGUUUGGCCUACAUAUUGGCUGUUGCAGUCUUUAUUUCCACUGUACGUUGGAGAUGAUUCUGGGGCUGCUGGGUUUUUUUAUAACUUAGGAUGUUUUGAAGAGCUUUAAUUGGUUUGCGUGCUAUCCUGAUACUAUGUGGUUGCAGUAGUCUGUUGGUAGUUUCUGAGAUGUUUUGGAAUCUUUUAAUAUUCCAUAUUCUUUUGAAAAUGUUGGUGAUGGUUUUGUGGGUGUUCUCUAAUUGGUCCUGUUUUAUUGUGGUGAAGUUGUCAUCUGCAUACCUGAUUCAUAUUUGGGGUUGUAUUUGUGGGAGUGCUAUUGACUCCAGAUGUUGCAUUACAACUUUCGCUAUGAGUCCUGGAAGUGGUAAUUCCAUGAUUUGAUUUGUUGACAAGUUUGUCCAUUGAAUUGAAAGUAUGUGGUUAGGCUGAGGUUGAUAAGAUCCAUGAUUUUGAGUGUUUCAGUCUUGGUGUAUUUGGUUAGGUCAGGUGUCCGUGGAGCAAAGUAGUCCUGGAUUCUUUACUUAAUUCUGGCUCUGUGGAUGUGAAAAGGUCUGUGACAGCAAAUGAGACCCUCAUUUCAUCCUCAUCUAUUGUUGUGUCUUUGAUUCUUUGAAGGCCUGUUGUGGGGAGUUGAUGGCGUAUUUGCUUCCCCCUGUGAGGUGCCGAGGCUUUUUGGUUAAUUCUUUUGUGAUUCUGCAGGUUCUGUAUUUUGGGGCAUCUCUAGAAACAUGAAAGAUGGGUCCACUGCUUCUCAUCCGUCCCUAUUCCUCUUUGGUAAUUUGAUCUUUCUUGGUGAGGUCACUGAGAAUUUUCUUGAGCCAGUUCCCCAAAGUAAUCGCCAAACCUUCUGCAAGAGAAGCUGCAUAAGAACUCUAUAUAGACAUGCACCAACAUUGCAGCAACCCUGAACAGCAGCAAAAGGAAACAGAUCAUCUACACACCUUCCAACAAAAUGGAUAUCCACACAACUCCAGCAAAAAGUGCCCGACCACUUAACACACCAUAACCAUAACCACAACCAAAACAAACCGCAAAAGGGAUAAUAACACUGCCAUAUAUCAAAAACAGCUCAGAAACUAC